Molecule: ribosomal RNA, 450 nt
Filed under: uncultured bacterium
Lineage: Bacteria
Description: partial 16S ribosomal RNA
Rfam family: Bacterial small subunit ribosomal RNA
Source: RNAcentral
GUGGGGAAUCUUCCGCAAUGGACGAAAGUCUGACGGAGCAACGCCGCGUGAGUGAUGUAGGUCUUCGGAUUGUAAAGCUCUGUUAAUCGGGACGAAAGAGCCUAGUGUGAAUAAUGCUAGGAAGUGACGGUACCGGAAUAGAAAGCCACGGCUAACUACGUGCCAGCAGCCGCGGUAAUAAGUAGGUGGCAAGCGUUGUCCGGAAUUAUUGGGCGUAAAGCGCGCGCAGGCGGAUCUGCCAGUCUGUCUUAAAAGUUCGGGGCUUAACCCCGUGAUGGGAUGGAAACUACAGAUCUAGAGUAUCGGAGAGGAAAGUGGAAUUCCUAGUGUAGCGGUGAAAUGCGUAGAUAUUAGGAAGAACACCAGUGGCGAAGGCGACUUUCUGGACGAAAACUGACGCUGAGGCGCGAAAGCCAGGGGAGCGAACGGGAUUAGAAACCCGGGUAGUCC